Molecule: long non-coding RNA, 680 nt
Organism: Melospiza melodia melodia
Lineage: Eukaryota; Metazoa; Chordata; Aves; Passeriformes; Passerellidae
Exons: 3
Source: RefSeq, a predicted model, not a curated record
UCUUUUUUAAAUGCAAGGCUCAAAGUUUCUGCCUUUUUCUCCACAUGCCCUUCAGCACCACCAGUCUUGAAUCUCCUGCUGCUUUUUUUCUCCCUUCUGCUGCCUUCCUCCCUCUGUACCCUGUGUUACCUGACAACUCAGAGCUACUCUGUCCCUUGAACUUAUUAUUUUGCCACAGACCAGUCCUGACCUCUUGAAGAACAGAACAUGAUAUUUGUGCUCUGUUUUUGAUGUCAGUCACUGCUACAACCAAAGAGACAUGUUGUGCACAGCUGUGGUUGGCAAAGAACUUGUGCACAUGCUGGUGCUUUGGAGUAGCAAACAGGCAAAGGAAUUGCAGCUGGUGCUUUGAUUGACAAGGCUAAACAGAGAAAAUAUUUUCUGUGGAUCUCCAGACUUGCAGUUAUAUCCGAAUUAUGAGACUUCUACUAUUUAACAGUGGCUUCUGGACUUGAAUUUUAUAACCUCUGUGGUGGAACAAAACAAGUUUUAAAAAAUUCCAAUAUUUGUAAAAAAAUUAAUAAAAACUAUAAUUCUUUCUGUGAAAAAAAAAAUUAAAACCACCCAAACCAAACAACCUUAUCAAUAUUUUAAAGAAUAAACGCAAAACAAGAGCAAAUCUUUUGAUUAAAAGAACAUGCAAACCAUGUUGUGUUAAUCAGUAUUUUCUGCUUGCUGCC